Aotus nancymaae (Ma's night monkey) is the source of this 1876-nucleotide long non-coding RNA. Lineage: Eukaryota; Metazoa; Chordata; Mammalia; Primates; Aotidae. The record is from Ensembl.
UGGUCUGUGGUUACAGGGCAGCUUCCCCCGGGUCAUCCCCCCCGACUGCGUCAUAGUCGACUCAGACAACUUCAAGUUCAUCGUGGACCCGUGUGAGGAGGCCCAGGGCCCAGGUGGGUGCUGCACAGGGCUCCCCGCUCAGGCACACGCUGGCCUCCGCCUCCUGCUGGCCUGCGGUGGUGGGUAGCAGCUGGUACCCGCCUCCUUGAGGUGCUGAAAUCAGCAUACGUGCUUGCCCUGUUUCGGCUUUAAAUAUUUUAAUUUGUUGGGGUUUUCUCUCUUGCUAGCCUGGUUCUACCAUAACCCUACUGGCGCAUGGCAGGGCACUGACAUAUCCGCCCGCCUUCGCUGUGACCCCUCCCCAGGGACCCCGGCCCUGCGCACCCGUGUGUGACAGAGCACGUCAUGUGUCUCCGCCCCAUUCUCCUUGUAGAAAUGCUGACUCCUGUCUCCAUCACCCAAGAAAUUUUGGAAAGAUUCCAAGACACAUUCACGUCGCGAUGGGUGGGACAUCUGGGAAGCAGGCAGUUUCCCAGCCAGGCCCAGUGGGAGCAGGCCCUGGGCAGCUGCAGCGGCUUCUUCUUCUAUGGGAUGGAGCACUUCCUGUCCCAUGUAGUAGUGGAGAGAUUGGUCGCCAUGAACUUGCAAGAGUGCCAGGUGCUGGUCCUGCUGGACCUGGCUCGGUCCUACCAGAGCAUGAGGCGGCACGUGGAGAGCUCGGAGUACAGGAGGUGCCUGGCUGCCCGGGGGAGGAGGUGCAGAGGGCGGAGAGGUCAGAUGGGGGGCAGGGGGUGCCACAGGAGAGCAGGGACUCAGGGGACGGGUUUCAAGAACUGUGAGAGCCGCUGGGGCGCACGUGCAUUCCAUCAAUUGGGCAGAUGCGUGUGCAUAGGGAGGGGCGGCUCAGCUGGGCCCCCUGGCGCCAGCCCACAGGAGCCGGGUCCCCGCAGCGCCUCAAAGCCGUCCCUGGAGGAUCCUGUCGACGUGGCCAUCCUGCUGAGCCUGGUGGGGGUCAAGAGCAUCCUGGAGAACCAGUGGUCCACACUGCUGCAGGACAACGCGCUGCGGGCCAGCGUCCUUUGGGAAAAUCUGUUGGCCGUCGGGAAGCCAGUUGGAGAAACGGUGCGCCUCCUUCAGGAGAUGAGCGGCGAUGAGGCGGUGAACCAAGGUGAGGGGGGCGGCCGGCACGUCCUUCAGCGCCCUCCGCAGCCACUGCCCGUGGGACACGUGCUCCCCACAGCCCUCCAGGGACACGUGUCUCGGCUUCCCCGUGGGGAACUGGGAUUCCAGACACUAGCUAGGAGCCAGAAAGAGGAGGGCUUGUUCUCGCCUGGAAGUUGCCUGCGUCUCUGCACUGCCCCAGCCCCCCGCAGUGGCGCAAGCCUCAGCAGUGACGCCCGCAAUGCCGUGGCUCCGGAACCCAGAGGGAAAGCGUCGCGGUCAUCAGAGACCGCGACAGCUCCAGUCACGCGAACCCCACGAGCCUGGGGCUCUCUGGGAACCAGUGAGAAAUCCAGGGGGCAGCUGUGCCAGGCCCCUCCCACAGCGAGGGCCGGACAUCCCCUGGAUGUGGCCAGGAGUCCCCCCCUGGGAAGAGGCCUCCUGGAAGAGGAAUGCAUGGGCCGAGGGUGGAGAGCAGCCUGACUGUCACAUCACACCCAGCGCCUGUCCCUCUCACGGCCUCACAGGGGAAACGUCGGGAAGGGGCACAGGACAUGGUCUGUUCUCAAACACGGACAGGCGGAACCCCACCCACUCAUCCUUCAGAGUCAGCAAAACCCUCCUGCCGUGGUGGGGGGAAGCGCAGAGAGGAGCUUCACGGGACCCUGAGUCGAAGCGCUCAGCAGCGCACGGAAGGGGUGGUCUGCCCCGCCUA